Molecule: ribosomal RNA, 253 nt
Filed under: uncultured bacterium
Lineage: Bacteria
Description: partial 16S ribosomal RNA
Rfam family: Bacterial small subunit ribosomal RNA
Source: RNAcentral
UACGUAGGGUGCAGGCGUUAAUCGGAAUUACUGGGCGUAAAGCGUGCGCAGGCGGUUUCUUAAGUCAGAUGUGAAAGCCCCGGGCUUAACCUGGGAAUGGCAUGGGAAACUGGCGAGCUUGAGUGCGGCAGAGGGGGGUGGAAUUCCGCGUGUAGCAGUGAAAUGCGUAGAGAUGCGGAGGAACACCGAUGGCGAAGGCAGCCCCCUGGGUCGACACUGACGCUCAGGCACGAAAGCGUGGGGAGCAAACAGG